AUUGUGUCUCAGCCUUUGGGCUAAGACCAAGUAUAGUAUCUGUUCUUAUCAAUUUAAAAAUACCUUCACAGAAACAUCUAGAAUAAUGUGUGGCCAAAUAGCUGGAUACCGUGGCCUAGCCAAGUUGACACAGAAAAUUAACCAUCACAGCAUAUUAAAAUUUCACAGCACUUUUCUAUGUGGGUUAUUAAAC
Phyllostomus discolor (pale spear-nosed bat) is the source of this 193-nucleotide small nuclear RNA. RefSeq annotates it as U2 spliceosomal RNA. The transcript has a single exon. The record is from RefSeq and is a predicted model, not a curated record. Lineage: Eukaryota; Metazoa; Chordata; Mammalia; Chiroptera; Phyllostomidae.